UACCAGCACCCCGAGUGGUCGGGACGAUUAUUGGGCCUAAAGCAUCCGUAGCCGGUUCUACAAGUCUUCCGUUAAAUCCACCUGCUUAACAGAUGGGCUGCGGAGGAUACUAUAAGACUAGGAGGCAGGAGAGGCAAGCGGUACUCAGUGGGUAGGGGUAAAAUCCGUUGAUCCAUUGAAGACCACCAGUGGCGAAGGCGGCUUGCCAGAAUGCGCUCGACGGUGAGGGAUGAAAGCUGGGGGAGCAAACCGG
RNAcentral lists this ribosomal RNA (253 nucleotides) under uncultured bacterium. Its description in RNAcentral is "partial 16S ribosomal RNA". It matches the Rfam family "Archaeal small subunit ribosomal RNA", at positions 474 to 727 of the family's 1478-position model. The record is from RNAcentral.